UUGCCAAAAAUGUACACUUUUUGUCCAUUUCUUUGAGCACACUUUAUAUCAUAUAGAUGACCUCAACAGAUAUAGACCUUAGUUUUGGAGUUAUCUGUCAAAUAACAAGGCAUAACUAAUAAAUGUAAUAAAGCAUUUUAACAAGUAAAAAAUUAUAGAGCACUUGUGAUGACAAAUGUUUGUUAGCCGACCUGGAAGUUCAAAUCACCCUGAUUCCCUCGACAAAAACUUAAUAGGAUUUUUCCAUUAUCAUUUGGAAUAUAGUAGAAAAUAAGCUCCUUGGGCAAUGGAAGUUUAUGAUUCUUACACGUUUUGUUUAUCAUGAUAAUGUUCACAAAUGAACUCAACUUGUAUGCAUUUUGAAACCUAAAUACAAUAACCGUAGCCCUGUAAAGGAACUACACAAGACUAAGUUUCACUAACAUCAUCACUAAGCUUCUGACACUUUCAGUCUUUUAAAAACAUUUUCCCUGAAGGUUUGAGCUCAAAUAGUUUACAAGAGUGCAAUUAAAAUCACAAAGAGGCUAUGAAAGCAGAAUAGUGAGGCCUGAUGACAUUUAAUGCCCCCUGAUAAAAACCCAUUAACUUCAGUUUCCAGGAUUUGGCCUACAAAAAUAUGUUAUCCCUACAGGACUCAAUAGCAUCCUAUUUUUCUACGAAUGAGCCUCCUGUGUUUUUGUUCACCACUCAGAUUACUAACAAGAUUGCUUGAUGGUGCAAGGAGGUUUUUACAGCCUGGGACAAUCUGGGGGGAAUUCAUCAGCGCAGUCGACUUGCAUCUGGUGGCUGCCAUGAUCCAUCCUGGAGGUGGCCACAAUAAUAUCCCCCAAUGACUCCAACGCCAGUUCUAUGUGUUUAACUGCACUCUGCCAUCCAACUCCUCCAUAGAUGAGAUCUUUUAAACAAUGGUGGCCAGUGGUUAUUUCUGCUCAGACAGAGGCUUCCUGGAAGAGGUGACCUCUAGCUGCUGUCCUGGUCCCCACCUGGAGAGUGCCCUUGAGAGUUUGGCAAGCGGUCAAAGCUAAGGAAAUGGAGGCUGAACGAGUGAAGCUCUUGGAGGAAGUGACAUCGAAUAGAAGAUCCAGGAGUUGGACAGCAAUCUUCUGUACAAGUUAACCAGCGUUCAGGGCUCUCUAAGGGAGGAUGAAUCUCUUAUUGAGGUGCUCAGAGUAAGUCAAAAGCUAACAGUUGCUGCAGAGACUGAAAUGAACAAACCACACUCAAGAGGAGUACCAUUCAGUGGCAACCAGGGGGAGAUGAGCUUGGUCAAUGUGAUGUACUGAACUUCACCACGUCAGUUUCUGGACAUCAUUGAUAUGUCCCACAUUACAGCUAAAAGACUAGACAACGUCAUGGAGUAUCUCACUUUUGAAGUGUUUUAAUAUACAGCUCGAGGACUCGAUGAAGAUCACAAGUUCCUUUGUAUGCUGCUUCUAAAUUUAAAAAUAGACCUACAAGACAAAAAUGUUUCCCACAAUGAAUUUCAGACCUUCAUAAAAGGUUUGAACCAUAUGUUUUAGCAGAUGUUGCCUAUUUACAGUUUGCUGUUUAUCUCAAUAUCACAAAUCAUUUUAACAAUAGUUAACUUCAAUAUAAUCAGAAAAUAUUGUCCAUUUAAGAACUUAUUUCAGGCCAAGUAAUUAUUUAUUUUUUUA
Carassius carassius (crucian carp) is the source of this 1655-nucleotide long non-coding RNA. RefSeq lists it as uncharacterized. Lineage: Eukaryota; Metazoa; Chordata; Actinopteri; Cypriniformes; Cyprinidae. The transcript is spliced from 3 exons. The record is from RefSeq and is a predicted model, not a curated record.